Molecule: ribosomal RNA, 289 nt
Filed under: Blastocystis sp.
Lineage: Eukaryota; Bigyra; Opalinata; Blastocystidae
Description: partial small subunit ribosomal RNA
Rfam family: Eukaryotic small subunit ribosomal RNA
Source: RNAcentral
CCAUGCAUGUGUAAGUAUAAAUAUUCGACUUUGAAACUGCGAAUGGCUCAUUAUAUCAGUUAUAGUUUAUUUGAUGAACAAUACUACUUGGAUAACCGUAGUAAUUCUAGAGCUAAUACAUGAUAAAAUCCUCGACUUUGAAGAGGUGUAUUUAUUAGAAUGAGACCAAGAGACUUCGGUCUAUUUGUGAGUAUAAUAACUAAUCGUAUCGCAUGCUUAGGUAGCGAUAUGUCUUUAAGGUUUCGGCCUAUCAGGUUUGGAUGGAAGGGAUUGGACUACCUGGGCAGAA